This 253-nucleotide ribosomal RNA is filed under the name uncultured bacterium. RNAcentral describes it as "partial 16S ribosomal RNA". It matches the Rfam family "Bacterial small subunit ribosomal RNA", at positions 524 to 776 of the family's 1533-position model. The record is from RNAcentral.
UACAGAGGGUGCAAGCGUUGUUCGGAAUUAUUGGGCGUAAAGGGCGCGUAGGCGGCCUGGCAAGUGGAAGGUGAAAUCCCUCGGCUUAACCGAGGAACUGCCCUCCAAACUGCUUGGCUUGAGUCCGGGAGAGGUGAGUGGAAUUCCCAGUGUAGCGGUGAAAUGCGUAGAUAUCGGGAGGAACACCAGUGGCGAAGGCGGCUCACUGGACCGGUACUGACGCUGAUGCGCGAAAGCGUGGGGAGCAAACGGG